GAUCCUGGCUCAGGAUGAACGCUGGCGGCGUGCUUAACACAUGCAAGUCGAACGAUUGAAGCUGGAGCUUGCUCCGGCCGAUUUAGUGGCGGACGGGUGAGUAACGCGUGGGUAACCUGCCUCAUACAGGGGGAUAGCAGUUGGAAACGACUGGUAAAACCGCAUAAGCGCACGGUGUCGCAUGACACAGUGUGAAAACACUCCGGUGGUAUGAGAUGGACCCGCGUCUGAUUUAG
This 236-nucleotide ribosomal RNA is filed under the name uncultured bacterium. RNAcentral's name for it is "partial 16S ribosomal RNA". It matches the Rfam family "Bacterial small subunit ribosomal RNA", at positions 15 to 245 of the family's 1533-position model. The record is from RNAcentral.